GUUCGGGUUAAGUCCCGCAACGAGCGCAACCCUCGCCUCUAGUUGCCAGCAUUCGGUUGGGCACUCUAGAGGGACUGCCGGCGACAAGUCGGAGGAAGUGGGGAUGACGUCAAAUCAUCAUGCCCCUUAUGACCUGGGCUACACACGUGCUACAAUGGGCGGUACAAAGGGCUGCGAACCCGCGAGGGGGAGCGAAUCCCAAAAAGCCGCUCUCAGUUCGGAUUGCAGGCUGCAACUCGCCUGCAUGAAGCCGGAAUCGCUAGUAAUCGCGGAUCAGCAUGCCGCGGUGAAUACGUUCCCGGGCCUU
This 307-nucleotide ribosomal RNA is filed under the name uncultured Geobacillus sp. RNAcentral's name for it is "bacterial SSU rRNA". It matches the Rfam family "Bacterial small subunit ribosomal RNA", at positions 1073 to 1382 of the family's 1533-position model. Lineage: Bacteria; Bacillati; Bacillota; Bacilli; Caryophanales; Anoxybacillaceae. The record is from RNAcentral.